CAAGGCAUUUAAUGGUUGAAAAGUUGAUAUUUUCCAAGAUAAUUUAAAAAUUAUUGAUGGAGUGUCACUCUGUCUCCCAGGCUGGAGUGCAGUUGUGCGAUCUCGGCUCACGGCAACCUCUGCCUCCCAAGUUCAAGCAAUUCUCCUGCCACAGCCUCCUGAGUAGCUGGGACUACAGGCAUGAGACCCAUUUUGUUUAUAUUAUAACCCAUCAGAUGUUGUUAUCCCCAUUGUAAAAGUGAGACAACUGAGGCAAAAAGAUACAAAGUAAUUUUCCUACAAAUGCACAGCUAAAAUUAGCAAAGCUGGGCUUUGAGAGCUGGCACACUGGCUUGAAACCAUAAAAUAAUUGCCUCUAUUCUUAAAAAAAGUAAGUCUAUUUCUCAUUAAUAAACACAAUUAAU
Long non-coding RNA from Homo sapiens (human), 404 nucleotides. The record is from Ensembl. Lineage: Eukaryota; Metazoa; Chordata; Mammalia; Primates; Hominidae.